UUGGGAUUAUGCUGACACAACCUAUGGGCCAUUAUCUGCACUGAAUAUUGUUACACCAUCAUUGUUAGUAGGUUAGUUUGUUAUUUGUGUUGGUCCAGAUAAACAACCUUUGACUUAAAACUAUGGCAAGUGUUGAUUUCAACAUGCAUUGAAAAUAAUGUGCAGAGUCAGAAAUCAAACUUUCAAGAAACGAAAGUACGGAAUUUUUCAAGUUUAUAUCUCUUUGAAAAGAUUGCAAGGUGAUUGGUUACUUAUCGGCUAAUACAACACAAUACUUAAAAGAUUUCGAGUGAGAAUCAAUGAAGGGCGGUGGAGCAUGUAAGAUAUUGAUCUUAAAUGCUUGGCUCAUUUACUCUUCGUUGAUUUAGUUCUCUAUUUAUAGAGAAUGUUUGGCAUGAAUAAACAUUUGUUUAUUCAUGUAGUUGACUUCUGGAAAGUAAUCGUUUGGCAUAUUCAUUGAAUCCGAAAUCUUCCAUUUGCCAACUUGAAGUCUGCCAUCCUUAUCAUGUCAGGCAGGUGGGGUCAUCAGAUAUUUGAUGAUCUGUCUGAUCCGGGUCAGAUUGUAAUCAUCAUAUUAUCAUCAGAUAGAUCAGAUUUCGUCUUUUCCUAGUCUGUUCUUCUUCCUUUUGUGGAAAGAUCUCUUGAUCUUUCUCUGAUGCAAAUAAUCGAAGUCGAAUCAUCUCAUUGUCAUUUUAUCAUCAUUGGUUUUAACCUUUCUUGACUUGUUAUUCAUUUGUUCUGAUUAAGCAUCAGAUCUUCUUCAUUUUACUUCAACACUUGCAAAUUCAAAUAAGAGGCCCUAACAAUUUGUAUUCCCGUAUUUGUAAUGGGAUGAUAAUUUUACUAAUGAUGACCUGGACCUGUUCGGAAUGUGCCCGUAGUAUGCAUCUGCAUAAAAUUUGUUCCAUAGUAUAUACAAACACAUAUCAGUAAUAUGCCUCUCAAGCUACAUGUUGAUUUUGAUUUGAUAUAUAGCUCUAAACACAUAACAUAAAUGAAACAUAAAUUUUAAAUUAAAGACUUCCACGUUUAUUUUUGCCUUAUUGCAUAUAAGAUUUUUUUUCUCUAAUUCGAUCUUGUACUUUUGACUUCACUCUAUAUAUUUGUUGCAACGUUUACUUACAGUCUAAAAUUUCAAUGUUAGUGUCCAAUUAAUAAUUUGUUCUGAUUUUGACUAUUCAGGAUCAAAGCCCGAUUUGAAUUUCUCUUGGUUAUUAAAAUUCAAGGUUGGUGUCUAAUGAAUAAAGACCCAGUUCAAAUAUUCGAAACUUGAAUUCAAAUUCAAUAUUUAAAUUUAGUUUGGUUGAGCUUAACAUGUUAGUGUUUGAGCUUAACAUAUUUUGUGUCUUACACAUGUCAACACAUUUAAAACACAAUUAUAUUUGUGUCUAAACUAGU
This 1398-nucleotide long non-coding RNA is filed under the name Helianthus annuus (common sunflower). Its description in RNAcentral is "sRNA HanXRQr2_Chr11g0469131". The record is from RNAcentral. Lineage: Eukaryota; Viridiplantae; Streptophyta; Magnoliopsida; Asterales; Asteraceae.